GAUGAACGCUGGCGGCGUGCCUAACACAUGCAAGUCGAACGAAGCACCUUACCUGAUUCUUCGGAUGAAAGUUUGGUGACUGAGUGGCGGACGGGUGAGUAACGCGUGGGUAACCUGCCCUGUACAGGGGGAUAACAGCUGGAAACGGCUGCUAAUACCGCAUAAGCGCACGAGGAGACAUCUCCUUGUGUGAAAAACUCCGGUGGUACAGGAUGGGCCCGCGUCUGAUUAGCUGGUUGGCAGGGUAACGGCCUACCAAGGCAACGAUCAGUAGCCGGUCUGAGAGGAUGAACGGCCACAUUGGAACUGAGACACGGUCCAAACCCCUACGGGAGGCAGCAGUGGGGAAUAUUGCACAAUGGGGGAAACCCUGAUGCAGCAACGCCGCGUGAGUGAAGAAGUAUUUCGGUAUGUAAAGCUCUAUCAGCAGGGAAGAUAAUGACGGUACCUGACUAAGAAGCUCCGGCUAAAUACGUG
Molecule: ribosomal RNA, 477 nt
Filed under: uncultured bacterium
Lineage: Bacteria
Description: partial 16S ribosomal RNA
Rfam family: Bacterial small subunit ribosomal RNA
Source: RNAcentral